AAUGAACGCUGGCGGCAGGCCUAACACAUGCAAGUCGAACGGAGUUAUAUUGUAGCUUGCUAUGGUAUAACUUANUGGCAGACGGGUGAGUAAUGUAUAGGAAUCUACCUAGUAGUACGGAAUAAUUGUUGGAAACGGCAACUAAUACCGUAUACGCCCUACGGGGGAAAAAUUUAUUGCUAUUAGAUGAGCCUAUAUUAGAUUAGUUAGUUGGUGAGGUAAAGGCUUACCAAGACAAUGAUCUAUAGCUGAUCUGAGAGGAUGAUCAGCCACACUGGAACUGAGAUACGGUCCAGACUCCUACGGGAGG
RNAcentral lists this ribosomal RNA (310 nucleotides) under uncultured Hyphomicrobiales bacterium. RNAcentral describes it as "bacterial SSU rRNA". It matches the Rfam family "Bacterial small subunit ribosomal RNA", at positions 29 to 348 of the family's 1533-position model. Lineage: Bacteria; Pseudomonadati; Pseudomonadota; Alphaproteobacteria; Hyphomicrobiales. The record is from RNAcentral.